RNAcentral lists this ribosomal RNA (254 nucleotides) under Salmonella enterica subsp. enterica serovar Cerro. RNAcentral's name for it is "partial 16S ribosomal RNA". It matches the Rfam family "Bacterial small subunit ribosomal RNA", at positions 775 to 950 of the family's 1533-position model. The record is from RNAcentral. Lineage: Bacteria; Pseudomonadati; Pseudomonadota; Gammaproteobacteria; Enterobacterales; Enterobacteriaceae.
GGAUCCCCGGAACGCCCGUUUUACCGUAGGCCAGCUCAGGUGGGAUAACCAGCUUGAUCUUGCCGCCUUUCUUAAUAUUUUUCAGCCCUUCAGUCCAGCCAGGGAUAACGCCGUCCAGACGGAAGGAUUGUGCCCUUGAGGCGUGGCUUCCGGAGCUAACGCGUUAAGUAGACCGCCUGGGGAGUACGGCCGCAAGGUUAAAACUCAAAUGAAUUGACGGGGGCCCGCACAAGCGGUGGAGCAUGUGGUUUAAU